AACCUUGCACUGGAGCAUAUCCAUACCUGUGAAGUAAUAACUGAGGCUGGAUUAUUGCUGAUUGAAAACUUUUAACCAAUCACCGCGAGACGCCUUUAACAAGGCGGAUCGCAAUUUUUGGAACGGCCUCUGGCC
RNAcentral lists this small nuclear RNA (135 nucleotides) under Piromyces finnis. Its description in RNAcentral is "U4 spliceosomal RNA". It matches the Rfam family "U4 spliceosomal RNA". Rfam says of the family: U4 small nuclear RNA (U4 snRNA) is a component of the major U2-dependent spliceosome. Lineage: Eukaryota; Fungi; Neocallimastigomycota; Neocallimastigomycetes; Neocallimastigales; Neocallimastigaceae. The record is from Rfam by way of RNAcentral.